UACAGAGGAUGCAAGCGUUAUCCGGAAUGAUUGGGCGUAAAGCGUCUGUAGGUGGCUUUUUAAGUCCGCCGUCAAAUCCCAGGGCUCAACUCUGGACAGGCGGUGGAAACUACCAAGCUGGAGUACGGUAGGGGCAGAGGGAAUUUCCGGUGGAGCGGUGAAAUGCGCAGAUAUCAGGAGGAACACCGGUGGCGAAGGCGGGUCUCUGGGCCGUAACUGACGCUGAGGAGCGAAAGCGUGGGGAGCGAACAGG
This 253-nucleotide ribosomal RNA is filed under the name uncultured bacterium. Its description in RNAcentral is "partial 16S ribosomal RNA". It matches the Rfam family "Bacterial small subunit ribosomal RNA", at positions 524 to 776 of the family's 1533-position model. The record is from RNAcentral.